GCAUUAAGCACUCCGCCUGGGGAGUACGACCGCAAGGUUGAAACUCAAAGGAAUUGACGGGGGCCCGCACAAGCGGUGGAGCAUGUGGUUUAAUUCGAAGCAACGCGAAGAACCUUACCAGGUCUUGACAUCCUCUGACAAUCCUAGAGAUAGGACUUUCCCCUUCGGGGGACAGAGUGACAGGUGGUGCAUGGUUGUCGUCAGCUCGUGUCGUGAGAUGUUGGGUUAAGUCCCGCAACGAGCGCAACCCUUGAUCUUAGUUGCCAGCAUUCAGUUGGGCACUCUAAGGUGACUGCCGGUGACAAACCGGAGGAAGGUGGGGAUGACGUCAAAUCAUCAUGCCCCUUAUGACCUGGGCUACACACGUGCUACAAUGGAUGGUACAAAGGGCUGCAAGACCGCGAGGUUUAGCCAAUCCCAUAAAACCAUUCUCAGUUCGGAUUGUAGGCUGCAACUCGCCUACAUGAAGCCGGAAUCGCUAGUAAUCGCGGAUCAGCAUGCCGCGGUGAAUACGUU
RNAcentral lists this ribosomal RNA (516 nucleotides) under Bacillus sp. (in: firmicutes). Its description in RNAcentral is "bacterial SSU rRNA". It matches the Rfam family "Bacterial small subunit ribosomal RNA", at positions 857 to 1372 of the family's 1533-position model. Lineage: Bacteria; Bacillati; Bacillota; Bacilli; Caryophanales; Bacillaceae. The record is from RNAcentral.